RNAcentral lists this ribosomal RNA (465 nucleotides) under uncultured bacterium. Its description in RNAcentral is "partial 16S ribosomal RNA". It matches the Rfam family "Bacterial small subunit ribosomal RNA", at positions 338 to 795 of the family's 1533-position model. The record is from RNAcentral.
CCUACGGGUGGCAGCAGUGGGGAAUAUUGCGCAAUGGGCGAAAGCCUGACGCAGCGACGCCGCGUGAGGGAUGAAGGUCUUCGGAUCGUAAACCUCUGUCAGCAGGGAAGAACGGUCACUGUGCUAAUCAGCCGUGAAUUGACGGUACCUGCAAAGGAAGCACCGGCUGACUCCGUGCCAGCAGCCGCGGUAAUACGGGGGGUGCGAGCGUUAAUCGGAAUUAGUGGGCGUAAAUCGGUCGUAGGCGGUAUGUCAAGUCAAGGGUGAACUCCCCGCGCUCAACGGGGGAACUGCCUUUGAAACUGGCGAACUGGAGUGGGUGAGAGGAGAGGGGAAUUCCAGGUGUAGGAGUGAAAUGCGUAGAUAUCUGGAGGAACAGCGGUGGCGAAGGCGACAAUCUGGCGCAUAACUGACGCUGAGGAGCGAAAGCGUGGGUAGCGAACAGGAUUAGAUACCCCGGUAGUC